UAGCUCAGUUGGAAGAGCAGAGAACUCAUAAUUCUUUGGUCGUAGGUUCAAAUCCUGC
Molecule: transfer RNA, 58 nt
Filed under: Psychrobacter arcticus 273-4
Lineage: Bacteria; Pseudomonadati; Pseudomonadota; Gammaproteobacteria; Moraxellales; Moraxellaceae
Rfam family: tRNA
About the family: Transfer RNA (tRNA) molecules are approximately 80 nucleotides in length. Their secondary structure includes four short double-helical elements and three loops (D, anti-codon, and T loops).
Source: Rfam by way of RNAcentral